This 1171-nucleotide long non-coding RNA is filed under the name Homo sapiens (human). RNAcentral describes it as "novel transcript, antisense to PLXDC1". The record is from RNAcentral. Lineage: Eukaryota; Metazoa; Chordata; Mammalia; Primates; Hominidae.
CCUUCAUAAAACAACAAGAAGGAAGAUGCUGUACUCCUUCCCGCAGUCUCAGCUGUCCCAGCCCCAUCCCGAAGAGCAUCCACCGCGGAUCCUGUGGGCUCCACAACAGCAGGUGGCUGCCUUCAGCAUGGGACGGCAUAUUUCUUGUCAGCAAGUCUGAUGGGUCCCCCAGUUCCCCGCUGCUGUGGAGAGAGAGGAGGCCCACAGAGGCGGCCUGACCGCGGUACUGUGCUGGCACUCCAGACGCCCUGUUCCCACCCGUCAUCCUGCAGGCCUCUCCUCUCUUCUGCUGCCCCCACAGUCCAGGCUGCCUGCUUCUCCUGCUGUGGAUGCCACUGCCCCCACCCUAGCUUCCCCUUGUUUCUUCCUGAUUACUGUUUCUUGCUUUUGCCACCACUGGAGAAUGAGGUCAUGGGAGCAGUGGGGGACGGCAGUGCUCAGGUGGUGAAUGGACUGGGGACCCUGGAGACUGAGGUGAAUUUCCCACGCCCCCUCUGAGGGCUGCUCAGAGAGUACUUAUCUUGGAAUCCAUCUCCCCGCAACACACACCCACUGACUCCCAUGGGGAGAGGCAGUGGAGAGGACUUUAGCCUUGGUCUUCCUUUCCUACCAGGAGGAUGACAGCUCCAGCCCUGCAGCUCCUUCCUUCGCCCGACUCCUGCACUGGAGCCGGAUGGUUUAGAAUGAGAUCCAGGCCUCCUCCCACGUCUCCCUCCCUUCCUUCCAUCCCAGGCAGAUCAGGGAACUUGCUCCUCCUCAGGAAAGCAGCUGGACAGAGUGGGUGGGAUGAGGAGUCCAGGUGGUCCCCAAGGCGAGCACUGCGCAGGUGUGGGCUUUAUGAGAGAGGAGAUGAGCUACAGCUGCAGAGACUCAGACAUAUCAGGUUGAGAGAGCAAGGGAGUUAAGAAGUCAAGUUGGCUGUACACCUGUAAUCUCAGCAUUUUGGGAGGCCGAGGUAGGUGGAUCACUUGAGGUCAGGAGUUUGCAACCAGUCUGGCCAACAUGGUGAAACCCCGUCUCUACUAAAAAUUUAAAAAAUUAGCCAGGCGUGGUGGUGAGCACCUGUAAUCCCAGCUACUUGGGAGGCUAAGGCGGGAGAAUUGCUUGAACCCGGGAGGUGGAGGCUGCAGUGAGCUGAGACUGCACCACUGCACUCCAGCCUGGGCAACAG